CGAUGAAGGACGUGCUAAUCUGCGAUAAGCGCCGGUAAGGUGAUAUGAACCGUUAUAACCGGCGAUUUCCGAAUGGGGAAACCCAGUGUGAUUCGUCACACUAUCAUUAACUGAAUCCAUAGGUUAAUGAGGCGAACCGGGGGAACUGAAACAUCUAAGUACCCCGAGGAAAAGAAAUCAACCGAGAUUCCCCCAGUAGCGGCGAGCGAACGGGGAGGAGCCCAGAGCCUGAAUCAGCAUGUGUGUUAGUGGAAGCGUCUGGAAAGGCGCGCGAUACAGGGUGACAGCCCCGUACACAAAAGCGCAUGUGCUGUGAGCUCGAUGAGUAGGGCGGGACACGUGGUAUCCUGUCUGAAUAUGGGGGGACCAUCCUCCAAGGCUAAAUACUCCUGACUGACCGAUAGUGAACCAGUACCGUGAGGGAAAGGCGAAAAGAACCCCGGCGAGGGGAGUGAAAAAGAACCUGAAACCGUGUACGUACAAGCAGUGGGAGCACAGGUUUACCUG
This 507-nucleotide ribosomal RNA is filed under the name Salmonella enterica subsp. enterica serovar Agona. Its description in RNAcentral is "partial 23S ribosomal RNA". It matches the Rfam family "Bacterial large subunit ribosomal RNA", at positions 47 to 591 of the family's 2925-position model. The record is from RNAcentral. Lineage: Bacteria; Pseudomonadati; Pseudomonadota; Gammaproteobacteria; Enterobacterales; Enterobacteriaceae.